This 850-nucleotide long non-coding RNA is filed under the name Brachypodium distachyon (stiff brome). RNAcentral's name for it is "long non-coding RNA (BDIS_LNC002233)". The record is from RNAcentral. Lineage: Eukaryota; Viridiplantae; Streptophyta; Magnoliopsida; Poales; Poaceae.
GUGUUGGGCCGGCUGGGCUGGGUGCGCGCGGGGGCGAGGAUGGGCCGGUUCGGCCCAAGACGGCUGGGCCGGUCCGUUUUUUUUUUCUCCUUUAACCUUUUUUCUUUUUCUUUUUCUGUAAAUCUUUUCUAACUUUUGAUUUUGAACUCCAAAUUGGUCCAAAUAAAUUCCAGAAAAUUUGUAAAAUCAUGUUUUACCUUGAUACAACUUUUGGGAGUAAUUUCCCCGCAAAAUAAAAUAUCUAAAAAUACAUUUGCCCUAUUAAUGCCUUUAGGGCUAUAUACCUAUUUAAAUAAAAUAGUUUUUCAACUCCAAAUAAUUAUCCAAAAAUUAUGGGAUUGCUUAUUUAUGCAAUAAACCCCUUUUAUAAAUGAAUCUUAAUGGUUUGAAGAUCCAAAGCUCAAAUGGGUGCAAACCCUUGAAAAAAAACUUUUAACGCCUUUUGAGAUUCAAAUUUGAAUUCAAAUAUGCAAUUGUGGCAUGAUACUCAUGGAUGCAAUGCACAUGUAAAAGUUUCAAAUUUUUGGGAUGUUACAUGUCAUCACUGUUCUGCGGGUCCCGCCUGCAUGCCCGAGCGCGGGUUGCUGGGGUGCACCUUCCCGGCUAGCGCACUGGCUAGUUGACGGGAAGCGUUCCUUCGGCUUCCUGGGACCGGGGUUCCUGGGAGCGUCUCAUAUUCGGCCCUUAGCUUUAGCUUCACUAGGGGUCGUCUCCUUGAGGCAGGUUCUCGAGCUCGUCGCUUCUCAGGAGUCCUUCCUGAUGGGGCUUCGUCACUGGCGACCCACAUAUCCUGUAUCAGUGGGACCCCGUGGGCCGCUGGUACGACAGGAGCUCCCGGGCGUGGGCUGGU